Penaeus monodon (black tiger shrimp) is the source of this 362-nucleotide long non-coding RNA. RefSeq lists it as uncharacterized. The transcript has 3 exons. NCBI's taxonomy places the organism in Eukaryota, Metazoa, Arthropoda, Malacostraca, Decapoda, Penaeidae. The record is from RefSeq and is a predicted model, not a curated record.
GUGCCACUGUGAUUCCGACCAGAGUGCCACUGUGAUUUCGUGGCAGUAUCUUCGCCCCGGUCGUGUUUUUGCGCUCGUGCUGUGUUUUGCCCUUUUAGCAGAUUUAAUGAAGCUGAGCAAAUAUAGAUAACACUUGCUCACUCCACCAACGAGAAAAUGAACUUUGAAGAAAACGAUAAAUUUUAUUCGAAGCAGUCGAGCUAUGCUGCCACCAACGGAUCGGCCGAGAGCCCCGCUGGUUCGGCCGAGUCGGCGAUCAGCUGGAUGCCAAAAGGGGACGGCUGCGAAGGGCGGGCGCGGAAGGGGCUGACGAUGAUCCUCGGCGCGAUGUUCCUCGUCGGGGAAAUGGCCGGCGCGGGGGU